CAGCAGCCACGGGAAUACGUAGGGUGCGAGCGUUAAUCGGAAUUACUGGGCGUAAAGCGUGCGCAGGCGGUUUUGUAAGACAGGCGUGAAAUCCCCGGGCUCAACCUGGGAAUGGCGCUUGUGACUGCAAAGCUAGAGUGCGGCAGAGGGGGAUGGAAUUCCGCGUGUAGCAGUGAAAUGCGUAGAUAUGCGGAGGAACACCGAUGGCGAAGGCAAUCCCCUGGGCCUGCACUGACGCUCAUGCACGAAAGCGUGGGGAGCAAACAGGAUUAGAUACCCGAGUAGUCCCUGUCUCUUAUAC
RNAcentral lists this ribosomal RNA (301 nucleotides) under uncultured bacterium. RNAcentral describes it as "partial 16S ribosomal RNA". It matches the Rfam family "Bacterial small subunit ribosomal RNA", at positions 509 to 807 of the family's 1533-position model. The record is from RNAcentral.